GAGUUUGAUCCUGGCUCAGGAUGAACGCUAGCGGCAGGCUUAACACAUGCAAGUCGAGGGGUAGAGUUAGCUUGCUAACUUGAGACCGGCGCACGGGUGCGUAACGCGUAUGCAAUCUACCUUGUACAGAGGGAUAGCCCAGAGAAAUUUGGAUUAAUACCUCAUAGUGUAACGAAAAGGCAUCUUUUGUUACUAAAGUUCCAACGGUACAAGAUGAGCAUGCGUCCCAUUAGCUAGAUGGUAAGGUAACGGCUUACCAUGGCAACGAUGGGUAGGGGUCCUGAGAGGGAGAUCCCCCACACUGGUACUGAGACACGGACCAGACUCCUACGGGAGGCAGCAGUGAGGAAUAUUGGUCAAUGGGCGCAAGCCUGAACCAGCCAUGCCGCGUGCAGGAUGACGGUCCUAUGGAUUGUAAACUGCUUUUGUACAGGAAGAAACACUCCCUCGUGAGGGAACUUGACGGUACUGUAAGAAUAAGGAUCGGCUAACUCCGUGCCAGCAGCCGCCGCC
This 513-nucleotide ribosomal RNA is filed under the name uncultured Flavobacterium sp. RNAcentral's name for it is "bacterial SSU rRNA". It matches the Rfam family "Bacterial small subunit ribosomal RNA", at positions 9 to 522 of the family's 1533-position model. The record is from RNAcentral. Lineage: Bacteria; Pseudomonadati; Bacteroidota; Flavobacteriia; Flavobacteriales; Flavobacteriaceae.